RNAcentral lists this ribosomal RNA (940 nucleotides) under uncultured archaeon. Its description in RNAcentral is "partial 16S ribosomal RNA". It matches the Rfam family "Archaeal small subunit ribosomal RNA", at positions 1 to 922 of the family's 1478-position model. The record is from RNAcentral.
UCCGGUUGAUCCUGCCGGACCCGACUGCUAUCGGAUUGGGAUUUAGCCAUGUUAGUUGUGCGUCCUUGGCUACAGGGACGCAGCGUACGGCUCAGUAACACGUAGUCAACCUGCCCUGGAGACGCGGACAAACCCGGGAAACUGGGGCCUAUCCGCGAUAGAUGACCUCAUCUGGAAGGAGAGGUCGUCGAAAAGGGCGCACGGGUAAGCUCUGUGCGAACCGCUCCAGGAUGGGACUGCGGCCGAUCAGGCUGUUGGCGGGGUAAUGGCCCACCAAACCUGUAACCGGUACGGGCUUUGAGAGAAGGAGCCCGGAGAUGGACACUGAGACAAGGGUCCAGGUCCUACGGGGCGCAGCAGGCGCGAAACCUUCGCAAUGCGCGAAAGCGCGACGAGGUUAUUCCGAGUGAUUCCCGCUGAGGGAAUCUUUUCCCAGAUCUAAAACGUCUGGGGAAUAAGGGGAGGGCAAGUCUGGUGUCAGCCGCCGCGGUAAUACCAGCUCCUCGAGUGGUCAGGGCGUUUAUUGGGCCUAAAGCAUCCGUAGCCUGCUCAGUAGGUCUCCUGUUAAAUCCAACGGCUCAACCGUUGGUCUGCAGGAGAUACCGCUAGGCUAGGAGGCGGGAGAGGCGGACGGUACUCCGAGGGUAGGGGUAAAAUCCUUUGAUCCCCGGAAGACCACCAGUGGCGAAGGCGGUCCGCCAGAACGCGCUCGACGGUGAGGGAUGAAGCUGGGGGAGCGAACCGGAUUAGAUACCCGGGUAGUCCCAGCUGUAAACGAUGCGAGCUAGGUGACACGACGCCUUCGGGGCAUCGUGGUGCCGCAGGAAAGCCGUUAAGCUCGCCGCCUGGGGAGUACGGACGCAAGUCUGAAACUUAAAGGAAUUGGCGGGGGAGCACCACAAGGGGUGAAGCCUGCGGUUCAAUUGGACUCAACGCCGGG